GAAGGGCGACUGAAACGGGAGUAGCCCAGCGCAAAGCCUCGUGCUUCCUAACGGGGCACGAGGGGUGCUGCGUUCGGGAGAGGUCUUGCACGCGGUCCCGCGCCGCCUAAGUUGUACAUGAAUGACUCUAAUGCCCACGGAGGGUGUCAGGCCCGUGUGGCGGUAAAAGACCCCCGAAGGGGGGAAGGUACGGGACUGCGGAAAGGGCCUCUCCUUAGAGUCGGGUUGCCUGAAACCGCAACCUAAAGUAGGUGGUAAACUCCAUCUAAGGCUAAAUACGACCACGAGACCGAUAGCGAACAAGUACCGUGAGGGAAAGUUGAAACAGAACCCUGUAGAGAGAGUUCAAGAGAACGUGAAACCGUUAAGAGGCUAAACGGGUGGAGAUUCGAAGAUCGAACUGGGGGGAUUCAGUUCGUUCGGUAGUCGGGAGGGGGUUUCGGGAUCACAAGAGCGACCCCCGAGCGUGCGGCUCUAAUGUCGUAGUCCGCUCUAGGGGGCGCGGCCCGUCCCCUGCCCGGCGCCGGCGGGCGAUUUUCCCCCCGCAGUAGGUCGCCGCGAUCCGUUGGGAGGGCGUCUGAGGCCCGGGCUUUGGCAGGAACCGACGUCGUCGCUGUCGCUAAAGGCUGGUGCCCCCGUGGUUGUCAGUCUGGCAGAAGCGGCGUCUGGGGAUCCCCCGGUGUAAGUUACUGUUAUUAUUAUUAUGACAGUAAUCCUUGUCUUGCUCUCCCGACGGUCGCUCCUUGGGGCGGCGUCGCCGGCAACGGCGGCGCUCGCCUUCGCGGUGUGCAAAGAGUCGAGGCUCUACCCGACCCGUCUUGAAACACGGACCAAGGAGUCCAACAUGUAUGCGAGUCAUUGGGCUCACUAAACCCACAGGCGCAAUGAAAGUGAAAAGUGCUUUGCCUCGUGCAUAGCUACAGGGCCGAUCCCUCGGUCCGGACGACCUCUGCCUCUCCCUGGACGGAGUGACAAUGCCUUCCUCCCCGGGGAGCUACCGCUGGUAGUUGGGCUAAGGACCCGUCCGGUGCCGCAAGCCUCUCCUCCUGCAUUAUUAUUAUUAGUAGGAGGAAGGGGGGCGCAGGUCCGGGACUCGCCAUGACGAACAGCUGUCUCUCUGGCUGGCUUUACCGGCUAGCUUGCGGAGCUUCUGGAUGUGUCGGCGAGUACCUAGAGCAUAAAUGUUGGUACCCGAAAGAUAGUGAACUAUGCCUGGCCAGGAUGAAGCCAGGGGAAACCCUGGUGGAGGUCCGUAGCGAUUCUGACGUGCAAAUCGAUCGUCAGAGCUGGGUAUAGGGGCGAAAGACCAAUCGAACUAUCUAGUAGCUGGUUCCCUCCGAAGUUUCCCUCAGGAUAGCUGGCACUCGUCAAUAACGAGUUUCAUCCGGUAAAGCGAAUGAUUAGGGGUGUUGGGGACGAAAUGUCCUCAGCCUAUUCUCAAACUUUAAAUGGGUGAGGUGCCGGGCUUGCUUUAUGUGCCCUCACGGGCCUUGAAGCCCCGGACACGAAUCGGAGUGCUUAGUGGGCCAAUUUUGGUAAGCAGAACUGGCGCUGUGGGAUGAACCAAACGUCGAGUUAAGGGGCCUAAAUGGAUGCUAAUUCCGAUACCAUGGAAGGGAGUUGCUUGCUAUAGACAGCAGGACGGUGGCCAUGGAAGUUGGAAUCCGCUAAGGAGUGUGUAACAACUCACCUGCCGAAGCAAGUAACCCUGAAAAUGGCAUGGCGCUCAAGCAUCCUCCCGAUACUCGACCGCCGGGCGCACUAUUGGCUGCAACAAGGAGGUCUCGAGGCCCCGGUGAGUAGGAGGAGCGCGGUGGUGAGCGUUGAAGGAUUCGGCGUGAGCCGGUCUGGAGCCGCCACUGGUGCGGAUCUUGGUGGUAGUAGCAAAUAUUCGAGCGAGACCACCCUCGUUGACCGACGCGGAGAAGGGUUCCACGCCAACAUCGCUUGGUCGUGGGUUAGUCGUACCUAAGCCCGGGGAUAGCAUCCCGAUUUACUAGGUGUGCUGGCUUUCCUGUCCCAAGUCAUAAUUAUGCACCACCCUGGUAAUCGUAAUUACUGUCCACGCUCGCGCCUCGCAUGCGUAUUCCCCACUGAUUGACUGCUGACGACAGGCAGACUUACUGUACUGACUACUACUGCGAGAGAGAGAGUCAGUCAGUCGGUCGGUCGGUCGGUCGGUCAUUCAUACUAUGAGGUGCAUGCAUGCAUGCCCGCAUUCUGUUACGUUGCGCUGGUGGAGGUGGACUGGCCCGUCGCUGCUGCUAAAGCUAAUAAUGAUAUAUAACAUUACUGCUGCAGCGGCGUCGGAGCUCGAGAGCUUGAUUUACACUUUGUCCUGUCCAGAUGUCAUGCUCNUCNNAGACNGACAACAACUAAAAGACUUUCUUUCUUUCUUUCUUUUAUUAGUCAGUCAGUCAGUCGGUCGGUUAGUGUGUUGCUGUUGCUUAUCCAUAGCAUCAUAGUGAUCCACNGCUACAAACUACAACAUGUACUACUCCUCGUCUUGAGAGAGAGGGAGAGAGAGAGAGAGAAGAGACCUCUCUCUCGCUCAGGGCGGAGUAAGUCGUGGUAUUAGUAGUAGUAGUAGCUCCGUGCGAUCACUGCUCCCCAAAC
This 2616-nucleotide ribosomal RNA is filed under the name Cerataspis monstrosa. RNAcentral describes it as "partial 28S ribosomal RNA". The stretch from base 1 to 2127 matches the Rfam family "Eukaryotic large subunit ribosomal RNA". Lineage: Eukaryota; Metazoa; Arthropoda; Malacostraca; Decapoda. The record is from RNAcentral.